GUAGGGCGGGACACGUGGUAUCCUGUCUGAAUAUGGGGGGACCAUCCUCCAAGGCUAAAUACUCCUGACUGACCGAUAGUGAACCAGUACCGUGAGGGAAAGGCGAAAAGAACCCCGGCGAGGGGAGUGAAAAAGAACCUGAAACCGUGUACGUACAAGCAGUGGGAGCACAGGUUUACCUGUGUGACUGCGUACCUUUUGUAUAAUGGGUCAGCGACUUAUAUUCUGUAGCAAGGUUAACCGUAUAGGGGAGCCGGAGGGAAACCGAGUCUUAAUUGGGCGUUAAGUUGCAGGGUAUAGACCCGAAACCCGGUGAUCUAGCCAUGGGCAGGUUGAAGGUUGGGUAACACUAACUGGAGGACCGAACCGACUAAUGUUGAAAAAUUAGCGGAUGACCUGUGGCUGGGGGUGAAAGGCCAAUCAAACCGGGAGAUAGCUGGUUCUCCCCGAAAGCUAUUUAGGUAGCGCCUCGUGAAUUCAUCUCCGGGGGUAGAGCACUGUUUCGGCUAGGGGGCCAUCCCGGCUUACCAACCCGAUGCAAACUGCGAAUACCGGAGAAUGUUAUCACGGGAGACACACGGCGGGUGCUAACGUCCGUCGUGAAGAGGGAAACAACCCAGACCGCCAGCUAAGGUCCCAAAGUCAUGGUUAAGUGGGAAACGAUGUGGGAAGGCCCAGACAGCCAGGAUGUUGGCUUAGAAGCAGCCAUCAUUUAAAGAAAGCGUAAUAGCUCACUGGUCGAGUCGGCCUGCGCGGAAGAUGUAACGGGGCUAAACCAUGCACCGAAGCUGCGGCAGCGAACGUAUCACCCAAGACAACUUUACGGAGUUGACGAUUGACGGAGCGAAGCGACGUCAAAGCGUUCAUUAAAGUCGAGUUGGCUUAGGGAUACGUUCGUUGGGUAGGGGAGCGUUCUGUAAGCCUGUGAAGGUGUGUCGUGAGGCAUGCUGGAGGUAUCAGAAGUGCGAAUGCUGACAUAAGUAACGAUAAAGCGGGUGAAAAGCCCGCUCGCCGGAAGACCAAGGGUUCCUGUCCAACGUUAAUCGGGGCAGGGUGAGUCGACCCCUAAGGCGAGGCCGAAAGGCGUAGUCGAUGGGAAACGGGUUAAUAUUCCCGUACUUGGUGUUACUGCGAAGGGGGGACGGAGAAGGCUAUGUUGGCCGGGCGACGGUUGUCCCGGUUUAAGCGUGUAGGUGUGUGUUCCAGGUAAAUCCGGUUCACUUUAACACUGAGGCGUGACGACGAGGCACUACGGUGCUGAAGCAACAAAUGCCCUGCUUCCAGGAAAAGCCUCUAAGCAUCAGGUAACACGAAAUCGUACCCCAAACCGACACAGGUGGUCAGGUAGAGAAUACCAAGGCGCUUGAGAGAACUCGGGUGAAGGAACUAGGCAAAAUGGUGCCGUAACUUCGGGAGAAGGCACGCUGACACGUAGGUGAAGUGAUUUACUCA
Molecule: ribosomal RNA, 1452 nt
Filed under: Salmonella enterica subsp. enterica
Lineage: Bacteria; Pseudomonadati; Pseudomonadota; Gammaproteobacteria; Enterobacterales; Enterobacteriaceae
Description: partial 23S ribosomal RNA
Rfam family: Bacterial large subunit ribosomal RNA
Source: RNAcentral